UUUCUUUGUCUUCGAAGCUCAUGGGGAUAGUUUCAGCGAUGUGUGCCACCUUUAGAGAACCAGAGAGAGGGCUGCGCUCUCCGCCAAAGGUCCGCACGACGGAGGCGACCAGAGGGAGCGGAGGCCAUUCGGCAGCCCGAGACCCUCCACACGCCCUGUCACAUGCUGGCGCUGCGCCAACAUCUAUUACAACAAAAUCCUAAAAUAAGACCGUGACCGCCCGUCCGUCCCCGCUACAGUUGCGACACCCUAUUCCAAGGGGGACCGAGGAAAGGACAGAGCCGCCACGAGGGAGGCGGCCACCGUGACACCCCAAUCCCUCCAACCAGAGAGAGAAUAGGCCGCUCCAAACCAGCCACUACCCCCACGUGUUGUCAUGUCUUCAACCCUAAACACCUCUCCCUAAGGGUCUAGGCCAGCGGCGCCUGCCGGCUGUCGACGCGUGACAACGUCCGCUUCACCAAACUCAACGCCGAGGUGAGGCAGCAUCCGACGGCGACCAGUUCCCUAGUGACUCAGAUGGGGUCCGGCUACGUGGCCUUGGGAGGGACCAAGGCAGAAAACCCCGCCCUGAAUAUACGCCGAGUGUUUCGGUACCUAGCCGCUACGACGAGGAGUACGGGCAACAGAACACCUACUGCUGAUCGUGGCCGCUCACGUCUCUAGUCGCACGGAUCCACUUAUUCCUUCUACUUGACCCGACAUUCAAUGAAACAAAAGUUACAGCCGCAAUAAGGGAAAUCACAACAGAGACGGAGAGACCAAGAGUUGGAGGUUGCUGUACGGGAAAAAAACACGACCGGUACCUCCGAUCGUCGCCGUCCUGACGGUACUGAUCCGGCGCGUUAUAAAGACUGUCACAACUCGAUGAGCAAGGGCUGUCGAGGCCACGGUUCGACGGUUAUCUUCGGCUCGUCCAUACACACACUACCUAGAAAAUUAAAAAUCAAACGAAGGACAAGCUAAUCCACGUAUAAAGCGUUCUAUUACAACAAGCCUUCCCCAGCGACUGCUCGUUCUCUUUAUUCAUGACUUCGUACGAAGUGACUACUGAUGACUAGAUCUUAACAGACAACGACUUUAUUCAGGACCUCGCCACCUCGCCCGACUUGUUAAAGGACAACUAAAAUGACUUACCUAACAGGGACAUUAAACUGGUUUGCAGUACAGUGGCACGGUGACUUCAAAAACGUGCCUUAAGAACAGAAAAACCCACCACGGUUCGACAGAAAAACAACUUGUUACGGUGUUAACGUAUCAACAUUCAAUAAAUCCUAACAGAGAUAACGUAUGCUGGACCUCAAUGUUCUCCAGGUCAUGAUUAAAACACAUACAUACAUGUACACGUGAGUGGGUAAAAGAUAUGUGUACUAAGGUUUCGUAAAAAUGACAUGUAAAACAAAGAAACGAGCCAUGUUUUACAUAACGUUCACAACAAGUAAAAAAGGGGAAGACAUUUAUAUGAUCUCUGGGAGAUUCCCGAGUCAAAAGAAGCGCAACAGACUUAUAUGGGUCUAAAUAAAAAACACACGCAUAAAUUGUUUCGUAAAUCAAUUG
Molecule: ribosomal RNA, 1557 nt
Filed under: Triticum aestivum (bread wheat)
Lineage: Eukaryota; Viridiplantae; Streptophyta; Magnoliopsida; Poales; Poaceae
Description: partial small subunit ribosomal RNA
Source: RNAcentral